GCCCUGAAUUACUUUGCUCCGGGCUGGAUGACGAUCCAAGUCUAUUGUACUCAAGGUUAACAGGAGAUGAUAUACCACAUGGCACCAGGCUGCCUGAAGGUAACUACACAUUAGACUCAGGGCUCCUUGACCGAGGGACCGAGGUUGUCUCACAGAAUGCCUGUUGUGGUUCAGCAUCUAGUAAUUACAGCUCUCAACACCAAUUCCUUCCUUAUUUGAGAGGACAGGGCAACGCCACAGGACCUUUACCAUAUUCUCGAGAGACUGAGAUGUGUAGUGGUGGCCACAACGAGGUACUAAAACCACUUCCGAUCGUGGGCGGAGAAUUCGGCGAGAGUGCCAGCACGGGCUAUGCUCCAGAGGAGGAGAUCCUGAGGGGAGAUCUGGAUGGAGCAUCGGUGGAGUCAGCCUUCGAAGGAACAGAUGACAGCACUGGGCGAGGAGGCAGCGGCUGCACGGAGCUGUCACUCACACGUCGCCAUCCGUUACAAAGGAUGAGGACGCCAACCAGUAGCAGAG
This is a long non-coding RNA of Macrobrachium nipponense, 519 nucleotides long. RefSeq lists it as uncharacterized. The record is from RefSeq and is a predicted model, not a curated record. Lineage: Eukaryota; Metazoa; Arthropoda; Malacostraca; Decapoda; Palaemonidae. The transcript is spliced from 3 exons.